This 438-nucleotide ribosomal RNA is filed under the name Phaeocystis sp. JD-2012. RNAcentral's name for it is "SSU rRNA". It matches the Rfam family "Eukaryotic small subunit ribosomal RNA", at positions 445 to 886 of the family's 1831-position model. Lineage: Eukaryota; Haptophyta; Phaeocystales; Phaeocystaceae. The record is from RNAcentral.
CGAAUCCUGACACAGGGAGGUAGUGACAAGAAAUAACAAUACAGGGCUACUUCUAGUCUUGUAAUUGGAAUGAGUACAACUUACAUCUCUUCACGAGGAUCAACUGGAGGGCAAGUCUGGUGCCAGCAGCCGCGGUAAUUCCAGCUCCAGAAGCGUAUAUUAAAGUUGUUGCAGUUAAAACGCUCGUAGUCGGGUUUCGGGUCGGGCCGAGCGGUCUGCCGAUGGGUAUGCACUGUUUGGCGCGGCCUUCUUUCCGGAGACCGCGGCUACUCUUAACUGAGCGGGCGUGGGAGACGGAUCGUUUACUUUGAAAAAAUCAGAGUGUUUCAAGCAGGCAGCUCGCUCUUGCAUGGUACAGCAUGGGAUGAUUGAAUAGGACUCCGGUGCUAUUUUGUUGGUUUCGAACACCAGGAGUAAUGAUUAACAGGGACAGUCAGG